GGGGAUUUAGCUCAGUGGUUAGAGCACUUGCCUAGCAAGUGCAAGGCCCUGGGUUCAGUCCCCA
Molecule: transfer RNA, 64 nt
Filed under: Rattus norvegicus (Norway rat)
Lineage: Eukaryota; Metazoa; Chordata; Mammalia; Rodentia; Muridae
Rfam family: tRNA
About the family: Transfer RNA (tRNA) molecules are approximately 80 nucleotides in length. Their secondary structure includes four short double-helical elements and three loops (D, anti-codon, and T loops).
Source: Rfam by way of RNAcentral